AGAACGAACGCUGGCGGCAUGCCUAAUACAUGCAAGUCGAACGAACACUUCGGUGUUAGUGGCGCACGGGUGCGUAACGCGUGGGAAUCUGCCCUUGGGUUCGGAAUAACAGUUGGAAACGACUGCUAAUACCGGAUGAUAUCGAAAGAUCAAAGAUUUAUCGCCCAGGGAUGAGCCCGCGUAGGAUUAGCUAGUUGGUGAGGUAAAGGCUCACCAAGGCGACGAUCCUUAGCUGGUCUGAGAGGAUGAUCAGCCACACUGGGACUGAGACACGGCCCAGACUCCUACGGGAGGCAGCAGUAGGGAAUAUUGGACAAUGGGCGAAAGCCUGAUCCAGCAACGCCGCGUGAGGGAUGACGGCCUUCGGUGUAAACCUCUUUCAGCGCCGACGAAGCGAGAGUGACGGUAGGCGCAGAAGAAGCACCGGCCAACUACGUGCCAACAGCCGC
Molecule: ribosomal RNA, 449 nt
Filed under: uncultured soil bacterium
Lineage: Bacteria
Description: bacterial SSU rRNA
Rfam family: Bacterial small subunit ribosomal RNA
Source: RNAcentral